This 3878-nucleotide long non-coding RNA is filed under the name Fragaria vesca (wild strawberry). RNAcentral describes it as "long non-coding RNA (FVES_LNC003381)". The record is from RNAcentral. Lineage: Eukaryota; Viridiplantae; Streptophyta; Magnoliopsida; Rosales; Rosaceae.
GGGGAUGCUUUUGUUGGAGGUUUUCUAUCUCAGCUAGUUCAAGAGAAACCCAUUGAAGAUUGCGUGAAGGCUGGUUGUUAUGCUGCAAAUGUGAUCAUCCAGAGGUCUGGCUGCACCUACCCAGAGAAGCCUGACUUUAACUGAGCCAUGAUUCCUUUUGUUCUCUACUUCCUAUCUAUGCUUCAUUUGAAAUUUUGAUUGUUGAGACUUGAGAAGUCUACUGCUAUUUUCCUGUCUCUGUAUUUGCUUAUCAAGUAUCGGUCGUUUAGUGGAUGCAUGCAUUAAUAGCCCACUAAACCCCAGUUAUUGGUUAUUAUGGGAUUUUUUGAUCCCUCCAUUGAAGAUGGGAUAGGACUACACGUAUUGUAUUCUACUGGUAGAAAAAUUCAGUUUUCCUUGAUAUCUGGUGAGAAGAAGCAUCGAACAGUUUCUCUCUGAUUCAAUUCUUUCCAAUCAUUAUAUAUCUGGUCAUAUGACGCAUUUCAAAUUUCUUAUAGAAUUGUUACUCUUUCUUCAGUUUCUUGUGUAAAACCAUAUACAGAAACCCAAGACAUUCAAAACAGAACCCAAAUUAUUCCCUGCAUAAAAAUGUUUUUGUCAGAUAACGCUCCAUAGAAGAACAUUUGCAGUCCAAACCUUUUUGUUUUUUUUUGUAUCAGAACAUGAAAUUCAUUAAGCCACAAAUGGGCAAAGAAAAAUAGAAGCAACAGAAGAGAAUAACAAGCACUGGAAACAACCAAACAAGGCCAACAGAACUAAGCAAAACACCAUAAAUAACACAAAAAAACACAGCAUGAAGAUCAUUUGCAGUCCAACUUGAACAGUCAUACAAUUCGUCAAGCCCCUUACGAGAAUGAUCCUCUCUUUAUCCUAAUCAAAUUUGACUGCAAACUAAGAUUUUCUCGUUUCGAGUAGAUAAACAUGCCCUAAAUGUAAGUGGGUGAGGCGGUGAGUCCUACUUAUUCAUUUAUAAUGCAAAUUUAGUACGAGCAGUAGUGUAGGUAUGAGUAUGACUGUACCAGUGACCUCGACUGCAAUAUGAUCUAGGGAAGCAAUCGUCGGUGAUCGAAAAUACUUUGCAUAAUUUUACUGCAGAAAGAAACAGUUGAAUGGUUCACUGGAGCCACGUUCUCUACCUACCUAUAUAUAUAUUUUCGUAUAAAGACACAGACAUGCUGCUUCAGCAGAUCUUUAUUCUGAAUCUUGCUACUGUCUCAUUGUCUUAAACUUACCACUCAUCUCUCUCUCUCUCUCUCUCUCUCUCUCUCUCUCUCUAUCUAGUCGCUCCUCAGCUUCUGUAAAUCAAUGGCCUCCGAAGGAAUCCUGUUGGGGAUGGGUAACCCCCUCCUUGACAUCUCUGCCGUUGUCGACGAAGACUUCUUGAAAAAGUAAGUUUUAUGUUUUCCCAACACUAAUAUAUGGAGCUAGCUUAUUCUUAUCCCCACAAACUAAAUGAUGUAUUGCGCUUAGAGGAUUUGGUUUUCUGGUUUAGCUGUACAGGAUCGAAUGUAUAGUUUGUACUCGGAAAUUUGGUGUCAUGGGAAUGACUUGAGGGCUAAGGUAGUGUUUGUUUUUGUGCAACAGAUAUGAUCUCCAACUCAACAAUGCAAUUCUUGCAGAGGACAAGCACUUACCCAUGUAAGGAAUUUAGUUUUAUGUACGGUCUAAAGUUUCUCAACUCUGGGGUGCUUUCAAAAUAGUUUCUAAAAGCUACCCCAAAGUAAUUAAAUUACCACUGUGAGACACUUGUGUGAUUGCUAAGCAGCAGCGUCUUUUGUUUUAAUAUGCUUUUUACUGGGUAAAAUUUAACAUGUAUAUAUCUCAGAUAUGAGGAACUUUGUUCCAACCCUAACGUGGAGUACACUGCUGGAGGUAAGCAUGGAUUACACUGUUUUGGUUUUCAAUAUUGUUACUGAGCAUAUCUCAAUUUGUUUUAGAUAUGGAUUGCUUGAGUUACUAAAUAUGAUGAGUAAAAAGAAUGAAACUUUUGAUUGUGGCAGGUGCUACUAACAAAUCCAUUCGAGUUGCCCAGGUACUUCAUUAACUGCUUCUUAUGAUACUCAAGUUAUUAAUCCGAUUAUUUCAUAUCAUUCUUUAAUAGCUGUGAUGUGAUCACCGUAAAGUGAUUUCUCUUUACUUUCUGCAGUGGAUGCUUCAAGAACCCGGUGCAACAAGUUAUAUGGGUAGCAUAGGGAAGGAUAAGUAUGGGGAUGAGAUGAAGAAAAACUCAAAACUUGCUGGUGUUAAUGUAAGUCUCUUAUUCUUUAUAAUGUGCAGUUAUGUACACGAACAAUGACACCAACUUUUGGAACUCAUAUCCUCUAAUCAAUUGCAGCAAGUAAUCUUAGUUUUCCUCCAAAUUUGCACCUUCAACACAUAUAUAUUCCCCUUGCUUCUGGUUCCUUUUAAAAAACAGGUUCACUUUUACGAGGAUGAGUCUGCACCAACAGGAACUUGUGCUGUUUGUAUCGUGGGUGAUGGGAGGUGAGCUUAAGUUCAUGCUAACUUGUUUAACGUUUUUCAGAUUAUGCCUGCCAAUUUGCCAAUUUGGUAGUUGUACUUGUACUGCAAGUGUUCAUAUAAGUAUAAACCCAUAAGAAGUUUCAGAUUAUACCUGCCAAUUUGUUAGUGUGUGUAUGUAGGUCACUUGUUGCCAAUUUGUCUGCUGCUAACUGCUACAAAUUUGAGCAUUUGAAAAGACCAGAAAAUUGGGCAUUGGGUGGGUACCCUUUCAAGUUUCAAUCUUGUGUUUUCAAUUUCAAUUUCUAGUAAUGCACUUACUUCUCUGAAGUGAUUUAUUCGUGAUUGAAUCCUGUUUGUCCCUGCAGUUGAGAAGGCCAAGUACUUGUACAUUGCUGGUUUUUUCCUAACUGUAUCGCCAGAAUCCAUACAGCUUGUUGCUGAACAUGCAGCCAGUAAUAACAAGGUUUUGGAAAUGACAUAAUCUCAUCAAAUUUUUUGUUUCAAUCAGUUCCUGUUUUCAAUAGCAUUUGCUAGAAAUAGUCUUGACACUUCCAAUUAAUUGCAGAUUUUCGGGAUGAACCUUUCUGCUACGUUUAUCUGCGAGUUUUUCAAGGAUGUUCAGGAGAAAGCUUUGCAGUAAGCGUUUUUCCUUCCUCUCCGGCAUAACAAUCAAGUAAUAUGGACGAGCUGAUGCAUGUUUUGGAAUGCAGGUAUGUGGACUAUGUUUUUGGAAAUGAGACAGAAGCAAGAACAUUCUCACAAGUUCAUGGCUGGGAGGUAAAUGGUUGCUCUAGUACUAGAUAGAUCUUACCAAUUAAUGUAGAAUCACUCAUAUUUUAACCUAUGUUGAUCGAUUAGUUUGAUUCAUCAGAUUGAUGAUGUUGAAGAAAUAGCUCUAAAGAUCUCCCAGUGGCCGAAAGCAUCAGGAGCCCACAAGAGGAUUACUGUCAUUACUCAGGGAGCAGAUCCUGUAGUCGUCGCUGAGGAAGGGAAAGUGAAGAAGUUCCCAGUGGUAUUGUUGCCCAAAGAAAAGAUUGUUGAUACUAUUGGAGCAGGUAUCUCUUAUAUGUAGUGAUAGGGAAAUAUCUGCUAUCUUAGAGUUAGUUAAUCCAGCAAACACUAACAAAUGGAAGUACAAGAUAUAAAUUGUUUGUUAACUUCUUGAUAUUAUUUUUGGGUCUAGGGGAUGCGUUUGUUGGUGGCUUUCUAUCGCAGUUAGUUCAAGAGAAACCUACUGAAGAGUGCGUGAGAGCCGGUUGUUAUGCUGCAAGUGUGAUCAUCCAGAGGUCUGGCUGCACCUACCCAGAGAAGCCUGAUUUUCACUGAACCAUGAUUCCUUCUGUUCUUUAGUUCCUACCUAUGCUUUAUGUUGAAGUUUUGAUUGUUGAGAACUCUACUGAUAAAGUAGUCUAGGG